UGAGACACGGACCAAACUCAAACGGGAGGCUGCACUAAAGAAUCUUCCACAAUGGGCGAAAGCCUGAUGGAGCAACGCCGCGUGAGUGAUGAAGGCUUUCGGGUCGUAAAGCACUGUUGUAUGGGAAGAACAGCUAGAAUAGGAAAUGAUUUUAGUAUGACGGUACCAUACCAAAAAGGGACGGCUAAAUACAUGCCAGCAGCCGCGGUAAUACGUAUGUCCCGAGCGUUAUCCGGAUUUAUUGGGCGUAAAGCGAGCGCAGACGGUUUAUUAAGUCUGAUGUGAAAGCCCGGAGCUCAACUCCGGAAUGGCAUUGGAAACUGGAUAACUUGAGUGCAGUAGAGGUAAGUGGAACUCCAUGUGUAGCGGUGGAAUGCGUAGAUAUAUGGAAGAACACCAAUGGCGAAGGCAGCUUACUGGACUGCAACUGACGUUGAGGCUCGAAAGUGUGGGUAGCAAACAGGAUUAGAUACCCUGGUAGUCCACACCGUAAACGAUGAACACUAGGUGUUAGGAGGUUUCCGCCUCUU
This 530-nucleotide ribosomal RNA is filed under the name Leuconostoc mesenteroides. Its description in RNAcentral is "bacterial SSU rRNA". It matches the Rfam family "Bacterial small subunit ribosomal RNA", at positions 320 to 841 of the family's 1533-position model. Lineage: Bacteria; Bacillati; Bacillota; Bacilli; Lactobacillales; Lactobacillaceae. The record is from RNAcentral.